AUUGAACGCUGGCGGCAGGCCUAACACAUGCAAGUCGAACGGUAACAGGAAGCAGCUUGCUGCUUUGCUGACGAGUGGCGGACGGGUGAGUAAUGUCUGGGAAACUGCCUGAUGGAGGGGGAUAACUACUGGAAACGGUAGCUAAUACCGCAUAACGUCGCAAGACCAAAGAGGGGGACCUUCGGGCCUCUUGCCAUCGGAUGUGCCCAGAUGGGAUUAGCUUGUUGGUGGGGUAACGGCUCACCAAGGCGACGAUCCCUAGCUGGUCUGAGAGGAUGACCAGCCACACUGGAACUGAGACACGGUUCAGACUCCUACGGGAGGCAGCAGUGGGGAAUAUUGCACAAUGGGCGCAAGCCUGAUGCAGCCAUGCCGCGUGUAUGAAGAAGGCCUUCGGGUUGUAAAGUACUUUCAGCGGGGAGGAAGGGAGUAAAGUUAAUACCUUUACUCAUUGACGUUACCCGCAGAAGAAGCACCGGCUAACUCCGUG
RNAcentral lists this ribosomal RNA (490 nucleotides) under uncultured bacterium. RNAcentral describes it as "partial 16S ribosomal RNA". It matches the Rfam family "Bacterial small subunit ribosomal RNA", at positions 30 to 507 of the family's 1533-position model. The record is from RNAcentral.